UUGUACCAGAUUUCGUUAUUUUACCAAAAUGUUUUGAUUCACAAUUAAGGUGGAAAAUAGAAGUUAUGUGUUUAAUGUAUUUGUGUUGAUGUUAAAAUGGAUUUUAAAACAUACGGUAUCG
Molecule: long non-coding RNA, 121 nt
Organism: Etheostoma cragini (Arkansas darter)
Lineage: Eukaryota; Metazoa; Chordata; Actinopteri; Perciformes; Percidae
Exons: 3
Source: RefSeq, a predicted model, not a curated record